CUGAUUUGUCACACAUGUUCCCAUUCAUUGGUCCAGUGCCCUGGCAGAACCAGAGAUUCUGAACUUGUCCGGAAAAGGUUUCAUAAUUCAUCGUGCAUACCACUCGGCUUGGCUCCAAGAGCAGUGGCCUGUUCCAAGUGCAUGCUCUCAGACAUUCACGGUUGACUAAAGGGACCAGAUUUUUGAUAAACUAAUGUAGGACAAAGGGAAAGAGCCUGAUUGCAUAGAGCCUGAGGCUGAGACAGAGGAGGGGGAGAGAGAGGGUGGGGAGUGAGGCUGCAGCGCAAGGAGAAUUGGGGCUCCUCUUAAUGGGAGUCCUAGGAGACAGAUGUGUGACUGCGCUGGUCGAGGAAGCUUGCUCCCUGAAGGGGGAGGGGGCUUUGUGCUAGUGAGAAACUUAGAAGGAUAAGAGAGAGGAGGACAGGAAGAUGGGAAAAGGAGAGCCUGGAGAGAGAGCAAAUGUUCCAGGACAAAUCAUUUUGGAAAACAUGGUGCCUGCCAGCCAGCCAGGAAGUUCAUGUUGAGGACCAUUUUCUGUACAGGGUAGCCAUUCACCUUGGCUUUGACAAGGCUGGAAAAGAGACGAUGGAACUGAUGCCCGGGGCCCACAUCAUGCUAAUAUUCUUUAAAAAUGCCCAUUUGACUGUAGAGGUAUGA
RNAcentral lists this long non-coding RNA (657 nucleotides) under Ovis aries (sheep). RNAcentral's name for it is "lncRNA (ENSOARG00000026022.1)". The record is from RNAcentral. Lineage: Eukaryota; Metazoa; Chordata; Mammalia; Artiodactyla; Bovidae.